RNAcentral lists this ribosomal RNA (354 nucleotides) under uncultured Actinomycetes bacterium. Its description in RNAcentral is "bacterial SSU rRNA". It matches the Rfam family "Bacterial small subunit ribosomal RNA", at positions 1045 to 1397 of the family's 1533-position model. The record is from RNAcentral. Lineage: Bacteria; Bacillati; Actinomycetota; Actinomycetes.
AUGGCUGUCGUCAGCUCGUGUCGUGAGAUGUUGGGUUAAGUCCCGCAACGAGCGUAACCCUUGUUCCAUGUUGCCAGCACUUCGGGUGGGGACUCAUGGGAGACUGCCGGGGUCAACUCGGAGGAAGGUGGGGAUGACGUCAAGUCAUCAUGCCCCUUAUGUCUUGGGCUGCAAACAUGCUACAAUGGCUGGUACAGCGGGGUGCGAUGCCGUGAGGUGGAGCGAAUCCCUGUAAAGCUGGUCUCAGUUCGGAUUGGGGUCUGCAACUCGACCCCAUGAAGGUGGAGUCGCUAGUAAUCGCGGAUCAGCAGUGCCGCGGUGAAUACGUUCCCGGGCCUUGUACACACCGCCCGU